CUGGAAUGGUGUUGCGCUGCGGAUACUUCUGGUUUGGCUUAUUUCUCGUGCCCACUGCGUGCCUUGUUAAAGAUGUGGCAUGGAGAGCGGCCAAGCAUGUCUACCACAAAACUUUGCUGGAGGAGGUUCAGGAACUGGAGACCAAGACCAGAGAGCUGGGCAAAGCCAUGCUCCGUGAUAGCAACGGAAAGAGCGUGAACGAACGUGAUCAUUUGUUAAAAAGGCUUGGCAGGAAAACUCCUCCAAGCCUUUUUCGAGCUCAUUCCGUCCAGCAAAGUGUAUCACAUGGGUAUGCAUUCUCUCAAGAAGAACACGGUGUUGUUUCCCAGUCGGAAGUUGUUCGAUCCUAUGACACGACCAAACGGAGAGCAGAAGUGCAGUAACACACGAUUCUUUCCUUGAUUGGUGGUGGGAAUAAUGGGAUUUGGAUCGAUGCGUCCACUGUUAACGCAUCCGUGACUAAGGUUGGCAGCAGCAGCCAACACACCGGAGAACUCGUUUCUGUGGCCUUAGCCAACAAGUUUCCACAUGGUCCCUGCAAACCUUGAGUACAUAUUGGGGGCGGGCGGGGGGGAUCAUUGUUUGAAUUCAGUUGCAAAGCUCUGCCUAAACUUUGGUUCAUGUUGUUAUGAAGCAUUUGACUGUGCUAUGUGAGGUGUGAAAUUAAAAACAAUCUUUUACCACUGUUUAAAAGAUUGGCAUUAGGUUGUUCUGGGAGAAAAGUAGAAAAUUUAUGUUCCAUGAGAAAUCAGCCUUUGCUUAAUUGGAACAGGGGUGCUGAGAUUUCCUGUUUUGCUACACACAGACCAAGUGCACAUGGC
Molecule: non-coding RNA, 821 nt
Organism: Tinamus guttatus (white-throated tinamou)
Lineage: Eukaryota; Metazoa; Chordata; Aves; Tinamiformes; Tinamidae
Source: RefSeq, a predicted model, not a curated record